UGCGUAGGCGGUGCAGUAGGUUGGGUGUGAAAUCCCUCGGCUCAACCGAGGAACUGCGCCCAAAACUGCUGUGCUUGAGGGAGACAGAGGUGAGCGGAACUUCGGGUGGAGCGGUGAAAUGCGUUGAUAUCCGAAGGAACACCUGUGGCGAAAGCGGCUCACUGGGUCUCUUCUGACGCUGAGGCACGAAAGCUAGGGGAGCGAACG
RNAcentral lists this ribosomal RNA (207 nucleotides) under uncultured bacterium. RNAcentral describes it as "partial 16S ribosomal RNA". It matches the Rfam family "Bacterial small subunit ribosomal RNA", at positions 568 to 774 of the family's 1533-position model. The record is from RNAcentral.